UUGACGGGGCCCGCACAGGCGGUGGAGCAUGUGGUUUAAUUCGAUCGCAACGCGAAGAACCUUACCUGGGCUUGACAUCCGGGAAUCCCCUGGAAACAGGGGAGUGCCUUCGGGGAACCCGUGACAGGUGCUGCAUGGCUGUCGUCAGCUCGUGUCGUGAGAUGUUGGGUUAAGUCCCGCAACGAGCGCAACCCUUGUCUUUAAUUGCCAUCAUUUAGUUGGGCACUUUAAAGAGACUGCCGGUGUUAAGCCGGAGGAAGUGGGAUGACGUCAAGUCCUCAUGGCCUUUAUGCCCAGGGCUACACACGUGCUACAAUGGCCGGUACAGACGGAGGCGAAGCCGCGAGGCGGAGCAAAUCCGAAAAAGCCGGUCUCAGUUCGGAUUGCAGGCUGCAAUUCGCCUGCAUGAAGGCGGAAUCGCUAGUAAUCGCAGGUCAGCAUACUGCGGUCGAAUACGUUCCCGGGCCUU
This 469-nucleotide ribosomal RNA is filed under the name uncultured Syntrophaceae bacterium. RNAcentral's name for it is "bacterial SSU rRNA". It matches the Rfam family "Bacterial small subunit ribosomal RNA", at positions 910 to 1382 of the family's 1533-position model. The record is from RNAcentral. Lineage: Bacteria; Pseudomonadati; Thermodesulfobacteriota; Syntrophia; Syntrophales; Syntrophaceae.